RNAcentral lists this small RNA (28 nucleotides) under Bombyx mori (domestic silkworm). Its description in RNAcentral is "ovarian small RNA-7100". The record is from RNAcentral. Lineage: Eukaryota; Metazoa; Arthropoda; Insecta; Lepidoptera; Bombycidae.
UCAUGUGGUCGAGACCAAACGUUUUGUC